This 39-nucleotide small nucleolar RNA is filed under the name Neogale vison (American mink). The record is from RNAcentral. Lineage: Eukaryota; Metazoa; Chordata; Mammalia; Carnivora; Mustelidae.
UCACAACCUUGAGAUAAAGUCACAUACUCUACCAUCUGA